UUGUGUUUAUGUGCUUGUGUGGAUGUGCUUGUGUGUAUCAUGUCUCCUAAGUCGAUUUAAUGAAAACAGAGAUGCAGUUGAUCUGCUUUAAUCUCAUUAUCACCAGGAAUCCUGUUAAAAGGGAAAUACUAGGGUCUGGAUUUGGCAACACAGCCUAUGUUAAGAGGCAAGACUUUGUCACGUUAAAGGGGAAGUACUAUAUCCUGAUUUGGCAACCAAGCCCGCUGACACUUGUGACCUUAUGACAUGUCACAGUGAAGCGCGGCAACAGGCCUAGCUGAUAGCUAGCACACACAUAGAGGAAACCGACUCGGCUAUAGUUUCACCACAGCAAAUAUAAGAACUUGAGCCGUGAAUCCAGGGAUUACAAACCCAGCCGGAGGCAGACAGGCAGGCUGCAGCAUGACUCUGUCUCUGGAACAUGGAGAAAAAUACACUGCAUUGACUGGGGUCAGGAUAGGACUCACCACAGCAUAGCGCUUAAAUGCUAAGAUCCCUCCAUCAACCAUUAAAAUGACAGUCCAAAAAGGAUAGCAGAGAAGUCGCAACGACACGACAGCCCAAAUGUUAGGAGAAAAAUAGAGGGAGGAGAGAAGACACACCAAAGGAGGUUUUGGGGGAAAACGAACAGGGGCUGUUUCUUCAAGACAACCCUGUUCUCUUCAGCAGUAGCCUGGGAAUCACGGACCUUUUUCAAAACGGGAAAAGACACCAUUGGCUGGCAAACUAAACCAUUUUUCUUGAUAUGGCGCGAGCUAGGAUCGACACCCUUAACGAAGCGAACGGAGGCUGCACAGCGCAUGCGUGGACCCGGACGGGUCUGUCUAAACAGGCAGGGGACGCGAUUCACGAAAGGAAAGAAAAGACCAUCUCCAGUGUUUCAGUCCAGCAAGCGGCGCCAGACACCAACAUUAGAUUUGCGAAGAUAACGGAGGGUCAACGUUAUUAGGUAUCGUUUGUCGCAGCAUUUCAUGCCAAUAAAAUUGAAA
This is a long non-coding RNA of Esox lucius (northern pike), 989 nucleotides long. RefSeq lists it as uncharacterized. NCBI's taxonomy places the organism in Eukaryota, Metazoa, Chordata, Actinopteri, Esociformes, Esocidae. The transcript has 5 exons. The record is from RefSeq and is a predicted model, not a curated record.